This 24-nucleotide non-coding RNA is filed under the name Arabidopsis thaliana (thale cress). The record is from RNAcentral. Lineage: Eukaryota; Viridiplantae; Streptophyta; Magnoliopsida; Brassicales; Brassicaceae.
AGAUCCGUUCGAAUGAUAAUCUGG